GAUGAACGCUGGCGGCGUGCCUAAUACAUGCAAGUCGAGCGAACGGACGAGAAGCUUGCUUCUCUGAUGUUAGCGGCGGACGGGUGAGUAACACGUGGAUAACCUACCUAUAAGACUGGGAUAACUUCGGGAAACCGGAGCUAAUACCGGAUAAUAUUUUGAACCGCAUGGUUCAAAAGUGAAAGACGGUCUUGCUGUCACUUAUAGAUGGAUCCGCGCUGCAUUAGCUAGUUGGUAAGGUAACGGCUUACCUAGGCAACGAUGCGUAGCCGACCUGAGAGGGUGAUCGGCCACACUGGAACUGAGACACGGUCCAGACUCCUACGGGAGGCAGCAGUAGGGAAUCUUCCGCAAUGGGCGAAAGCCUGACGGAGCAACGCCGCGUGAGUGAUGAAGGUCUUCGGAUCGUAAAACUCUGUUAUUAGGGAAGAACAUAUGUGUAAGUAACUGUGCACAUCUUGACGGUACCUAAUCAGAAAGCCACGGCUAACUACGUGCCAGCAGCCGCGGUAAUACGUAGGUGGCAAGCGUUAUCCGGAAUUAUUGGGCGUAAAGCGCGCGUAGGCGGUUUUUUAAGUCUGAUGUGAAAGCCCACGGCUCAACCGUGGAGGGUCAUUGGAAACUGGAAAACUUGAGUGCAGAAGAGGAAAGUGGAAUUCCAUGUGUAGCGGUGAAAUGCGCAGAGAUAUGGAGGAACACCAGUGGCGAAGGCGACUUUCUGGUCUGUAACUGACGCUGAUGUGCGAAAGCGUGGGGAUCAAACAGGAUUAGAUACCCUGGUAGUCCACGCCGUAAACGAUGAGUGCUAAGUGUUAGGGGGUUUCCGCCCCUUAGUGCUGCAGCUAACGCAUUAAGCACUCCGCCUGGGGAGUACGACCGCAAGGUUGAAACUCAAAGGAAUUGACGGGGACCCGCACAAGCGGUGGAGCAUGUGGUUUAAUUCGAAGCAACGCGAAGAACCUUACCAAAUCUUGACAUCCUUUGACAACUCUAGAGAUAGAGCUUUCCCCUUCGGGGGACAAAGUGACAGGUGGUGCAUGGUUGUCGUCAGCUCGUGUCGUGAGAUGUUGGGUUAAGUCCCGCAACGAGCGCAACCCUUAAGCUUAGUUGCCAUCAUUAAGUUGGGCACUCUAAGUUGACUGCCGGUGACAAACCGGAGGAAGGUGGGGAUGACGUCAAAUCAUCAUGCCCCUUAUGAUUUGGGCUACACACGUGCUACAAUGGACAAUACAAAGGGCAGCGAAACCGCGAGGUCAAGCAAAUCCCAUAAAGUUGUUCUCAGUUCGGAUUGUAGUCUGCAACUCGACUACAUGAAGCUGGAAUCGCUAGUAAUCGUAGAUCAGCAUGCUACGGUGAAUACGUUCCCGGGUCU
RNAcentral lists this ribosomal RNA (1372 nucleotides) under uncultured bacterium. RNAcentral's name for it is "bacterial SSU rRNA". It matches the Rfam family "Bacterial small subunit ribosomal RNA", at positions 28 to 1381 of the family's 1533-position model. The record is from RNAcentral.